This 449-nucleotide ribosomal RNA is filed under the name marine bacterium SE44. RNAcentral's name for it is "bacterial SSU rRNA". It matches the Rfam family "Bacterial small subunit ribosomal RNA", at positions 40 to 538 of the family's 1533-position model. Lineage: Bacteria; Pseudomonadati; Pseudomonadota; Alphaproteobacteria; Hyphomicrobiales. The record is from RNAcentral.
CGGCAGGCUUAACACAUGCAAGUCGAACGAAGUCUUCGGACUUAGUGGCAGACGGGUGAGUAACGCGUGGGAACCUACCCUUUGGUACGGAACAACAGUUGGAAACGACUGCUAAUACCGUAUGAGCCCUACGGGGGAAAGAUUUAUCGCCAAAGGAUGGGCCCGCGUUGGAUUAGCUAGUUGGUGGGGUAAAAGCCUACCAAGGCGACGAUCCAUAGCUGGUCUGAGAGGAUGAUCAGCCACACUGGGACUGAGACACGGCCCAGACUCCUACGGGAGGCAGCAGUGGGGAAUAUUGGACAAUGGGGGCAACCCUGAUCCAGCCAUGCCGCGUGAGUGAUGAAGGCCCUAGGGUUGUAAAGCUCUUUCAGCGAGGAGGAUAAUGACGUUCUCGCAGAAGAAGCCCCGGCUACUUCGUGCCAGCAGCCGCGGUAUACCAAGGGGGCUAG